CUUUGUAAUUGGAAUGAUGGGAAUGUAAAACCCUUCCAGAGUAACAAUUGGAGGGCAAGUCUGGUGCCAGCAGCCGCGGUAAUUCCAGCUCCAAUAGUGUAUAUUAGAGUUGUUGCAGUUAAAAAGCUCGUAGUUGGAUUUCUGUCGUGGUCAGCCGGUGCCGCCCGUAUGGGUGUGCGCCUGGUUUGCCCGCGGCUUUUUUCCGGUAGCCUUCCGCGCUUAAUUGCGUGUGUUGGUGUUCUGGAACUUUUACUUUGAGAAAAAUAGAGUGUUUCAAGCAGGCUUGUCGCCCUGAAUACUGCAGCAUGGAAUAAUAAGAUAGGACCUCGGUUCUAUUUUGUUGGUUUCUAGGACCAAGGUAAUGAUUAAUAGGGACAGUUGGGGGCAUUCGUAUUUAACUGUCAGAGGUGAAAUUCUUAGAUUUGUUAAAGACGAACUACUGCGAAAGCAUUUGCCAAGGAUGUUUUCAUUAAUCAAGAACGACAGUAGGGGGUU
This 495-nucleotide ribosomal RNA is filed under the name Eimeria sordida. Its description in RNAcentral is "SSU rRNA". It matches the Rfam family "Eukaryotic small subunit ribosomal RNA", at positions 501 to 998 of the family's 1831-position model. Lineage: Eukaryota; Apicomplexa; Conoidasida; Eucoccidiorida; Eimeriidae. The record is from RNAcentral.